Pistacia vera is the source of this 618-nucleotide long non-coding RNA. RefSeq lists it as uncharacterized. The record is from RefSeq and is a predicted model, not a curated record. The transcript has 3 exons. Lineage: Eukaryota; Viridiplantae; Streptophyta; Magnoliopsida; Sapindales; Anacardiaceae.
UAUAGGUCAAGUGGAAUGUGCAAAUCGACUAUUUUAUAAGGCAAUGUGUGAGGAAAUCUUACUUCAACUGUAAUGGAAUACAACACAACAGAUUCCACUGGACCAAAAGAUUCAAUGGUGAGCAAAGAUCCAGUUAACUCCAAUUCACUAUGACUUCUGUGUAAAUUUCAGUUUGGUGAUUGAUUAAAGCAAAGGAAUGCAAAAUUUUUGGAGAGAGUUACAAAUGACGGACUAUGCCACAGACUUGGAGAAGCAGAAGGAGAUCAAUUAUCAGUGCAAGCAAUGCCCACCUCGACAAGUUGCAUAAUCAAGUUUUGCGAGAAUGGUUCUCUGAAACGAGACCUUUUUGUUGGAGUUAACAACCACUUCAACAAUAAGGGUUUCACCUAUAAGGGGUGACGCACGGGGGUAAACACAUUAUUAUCUUAUAUGAUUGAUAUAGCAAUCUAUUAGCAAAUACAAUCACUGUGACGAGGGGUGAUAAAAUAUUGCAAUAAUAUUGAUUGACGUAUUGCGGAUUUGGGCUUGUGCUUUUUCUUUUUAUUAGUUCGCUACUUGUUUGUGUGAUUGUUUUCUUUGAUUCCAAACGCUAUCUAAUUCCUUCACUUUUCUGGUUUC